Molecule: ribosomal RNA, 252 nt
Filed under: uncultured bacterium
Lineage: Bacteria
Description: partial 16S ribosomal RNA
Rfam family: Bacterial small subunit ribosomal RNA
Source: RNAcentral
UACGUAGGGGGCUAGCGUUAUCCGGAAUUACUGGGCGUAAGGGGUGCGUAGGUGGUUUCUUAAGUCAGAGGUGAAAGGCUACGGCUCAACCGUAGUAAGCCUUUGAAACUGGGAAACUUGAGUGCAGGAGAGGAGAGUGGAAUUCCUAGUGUGGCGGUGAAAUGCGUAGAUAUUAGGAGGAACACCAGUUGCGAAGGCGGCUCUCUGGACUGUAACUGACACUGAGGCACGAAAGCGUGGGGAGCAAACAGG